This 988-nucleotide long non-coding RNA is filed under the name Falco tinnunculus (common kestrel). Its description in RNAcentral is "lncRNA (ENSFTIG00000006070.1)". Lineage: Eukaryota; Metazoa; Chordata; Aves; Falconiformes; Falconidae. The record is from RNAcentral.
UGAAAUAAUUAGGCUGAUAAACUUUUUGUAAAAUGGGACUUCUGGUAAGAUUUGGAGCAAACAAAAUGGAUCUGUAUCAUAAAAAAUGCCCUUAAUAAAGGACCAGAGAGGAGACCUUUAGCCCUGUUCUUGUGUCUGUAAGUAGGAAACACAAGAGAUCUCCCGAGCUAGUAAAACCGCAAGGGAAUUCACAUGCACUUUCAGAUACGGUGUCUCGCAGAUACACAAUGAUUUAUGUGAACGUAGGCAGCAUUUUCCUGCACACGAGCUGAUUCCCCUCUUUAGGCAGGCCCCUAGGAGGACUCCAGUGAAGUAGCAAUUCACUCUGCUUUUUGGCUUUAGCUAUGACAUGUAGGGAAAUAUGUUGUUCAUCCACAGCUAGCAUAUUUGUAAGUGGGCCCUAGCAUUUUAGUAAUGGGGGGAAAAAACCCCAAACAAACCAUAAUUGGAUUUUCAACAUGAGAAUUUUGUGUGACUGUGUAAGCCUCCUUCCUUCCUAACUCUAAAAUAUCAGGGUUGGCAAAUUGGAACAAAACUUCAGACAAGUAUUCAGAGUUAUGUGGAAACCCAUUUUGGCAUUAAAAAAAACCAAGAACAUAUCUAACAGCCAUUAGCAAAAGCUAGUCUCUGCUGGUAACUCUCAGUGUAUGUUUGGAGUAGUUAAAUUAACCUUCAGAACAGGACUUCUGGACCUGACUUUUUAAGUACAAAUCUUCAAGAACUGACUAUCUUAUCCCCUACUCCUUGUCCUGUUGCCCUUCUGCUUCCUUUUUAGCAUGCUCUUAUCAAGCCACCCGCUUCCAGUCUGCAAUAAAAGGAGAGUUCCAGAUGGGCUUCACCUUGAUAACAGCAACAUGUGAGGGAGACGUAUAUGCAAGUGGAUUCCUUCAGACCUGUUACUGAAAUAACCCAUACCAAAUGUUUGAAGUUUUGGAACGGAAAGGUACGUCCUCGAGGGAACCAGGCCUGGACCAUGAAGAUGAUAUGA